RNAcentral lists this transfer RNA (72 nucleotides) under Acidimicrobiia bacterium. RNAcentral's name for it is "tRNA-Gln". It matches the Rfam family "tRNA". Rfam says of the family: Transfer RNA (tRNA) molecules are approximately 80 nucleotides in length. The record is from RNAcentral. Lineage: Bacteria; Bacillati; Actinomycetota; Acidimicrobiia. RNAcentral also lists the same sequence under 2 other names.
UGGGGGGUGGUGUAACCGGUAGCACAACGGACUUUGAAUCCGUUAGUCGGGGUUCGAGUCCCUGCCCCCCAG